UACGAAGGGGGCUAGCGUUGCUCGGAAUCACUGGGCGUAAAGCGCACGUAGGCGGAUUGCUAAGUCAGGGGUGAAAUCCUGGAGCUCAACUCCAGAACUGCCUUUGAUACUGGCAACCUUGAGUCCGGGAGAGGUGAGUGGAACUGCGAGUAUAGAGGUGAAAUUCGUAGAUAUUCGCAAGAACACCAGUGGCGAAGGCGGCUCACUGGCCCGGUACUGACGCUGAGGUGCGAAAGCGUGGGGAGCAAACAGG
This 253-nucleotide ribosomal RNA is filed under the name uncultured bacterium. RNAcentral describes it as "partial 16S ribosomal RNA". It matches the Rfam family "Bacterial small subunit ribosomal RNA", at positions 524 to 776 of the family's 1533-position model. The record is from RNAcentral.